GGGGGGGCGGGCGUGCUACACAUGCAGUCGAACGAUGAUGCCCAGCUUGCUGGGUGGAUUAGUGGCGAACGGGUGAGUAACACGUGAGUAACCUGCCCCUGACUCUGGGAUAAGCGUUGGAAACGACGUCUAAUACUGGAUAUGAUCACUGGCCGCAUGGUCUGGUGGUGGAAAGAUCUUUUGGUUGGGGAUGGACUCGCGGCCUAUCAGCUUGUUGGUGAGGUAAUGGCUCACCAAGGCGACGACGGGUAGCCGGCCUGAGAGGGUGACCGGCCACACUGGGACUGAGACACGGCCCAGACUCCUACGGGAGGCAGCAGUGGGGAAUAUUGCACAAUGGGCGAAAGCCUGAUGCAGCAACGCCGCGUGAGGGAUGACGGCCUUCGGGUUGUAAACCUCUUUUAGUAGGGAAGAAGCGAAAGUGACGGUACCUGCAGAAAAAGCACCGGCUAACUACGUGCCAGCAGCCGCGGUAAUACGUAGGGUGCAAGCGUUGUCCGGAAUUAUUGGGCGUAAAGAGCUCGUAGGCGGUUUGUCGCGUCUGCUGUGAAAUCCCGAGGCUCAACCUCGGGCUUGCAGUGGGUACGGGCAGACUAGAGUGCGGUAGGGGAGAUUGGAAUUCCUGGUGUAGCGGUGGAAUGCGCAGAUAUCAGGAGGAACACCGAUGGCGAAGGCAGAUCUCUGGGCCGUAACUGACGCUGAGGAGCGAAAGCAUGGGGAGCGAACAGGAUUAGAUACCCUGGUAGUCCAUGCCGUAAACGUUGGGCGCUAGAUGUAGGGACCUUUCCACGGUUUCUGUGUCGUAGCUAACGCAUUAAGCGCCCCGCCUGGGGAGUACGGCCGCAAGGCUAAAACUCAAAGGAAUUGACGGGGGCCCGCACAAGCGGCGGAGCAUGCGGAUUAAUUCGAUGCAACGCGAAGAACCUUACCAAGGCUUGACAUACACCGGAAACGGCCAGAGAUGGUCGCCCCCUUGUGGUCGGUGUACAGGUGGUGCAUGGUUGUCGUCAGCUCGUGUCGUGAGAUGUUGGGUUAAGUCCCGCAACGAGCGCAACCCUCGUUCUAUGUUGCCAGCGGGUUAUGCCGGGGACUCAUAGGAGACUGCCGGGGUCAACUCGGAGGAAGGUGGGGAUGACGUCAAAUCAUCAUGCCCCUUAUGUCUUGGGCUUCACGCAUGCUACAAUGGCCGGUACAAAGGGCUGCGAUACCGUAAGGUGGAGCGAAUCCCAAAAAGCCGGUCUCAGUUCGGAUUGAGGUCUGCAACUCGACCUCAUGAAGUCGGAGUCGCUAGUAAUCGCAGAUCAGCAACGCUGCGGUGAAUACGUUCCCGGGCCUUGUACACACCGCCCGUCAAGUCAUGAAAGUCGGUAACACCCGAAGCCGGUGGCCUAACCCUUGUGGAAGGAGCCGUCGAAGUGAUCGU
RNAcentral lists this ribosomal RNA (1423 nucleotides) under Curtobacterium flaccumfaciens. RNAcentral describes it as "bacterial SSU rRNA". It matches the Rfam family "Bacterial small subunit ribosomal RNA". The record is from RNAcentral. Lineage: Bacteria; Bacillati; Actinomycetota; Actinomycetes; Micrococcales; Microbacteriaceae.